GCUGGGUACAGUGGCAUGCAUCUGUAGUCCCAGAUACUCAGGAGGCUGAGGUAGGAGGAUCGCUUGAGCCCAGGAGUUUGAGGCCAGCAUGGGCAACUUAGCAAGACCUCAUCUCCA
This 117-nucleotide small RNA is filed under the name Marmota monax (woodchuck). Lineage: Eukaryota; Metazoa; Chordata; Mammalia; Rodentia; Sciuridae. The record is from RNAcentral.